This is an unclassified non-coding RNA of Mustela putorius furo (domestic ferret), 313 nucleotides long. Its record names the gene 7SK. It matches the Rfam family "7SK RNA". From Rfam's summary of the family: 7SK was discovered as an abundant small nuclear RNA in the mid-70s but a possible function has only recently been suggested. Two independent studies have found that 7SK RNA binds the CDK9/cyclin T complex (known as elongation factor P-TEFb). NCBI's taxonomy places the organism in Eukaryota, Metazoa, Chordata, Mammalia, Carnivora, Mustelidae. The record is from Ensembl.
GGAUGUGAGGGAGAUCUGGCUGCGAUAUCUGUCACCCCAUUGAUCGCCAGGGUCGAUUCAGCUGAUCUGGCUGGCUAGGCAGGUGUCCCUUUCCUCCCUCGCUGCUCCCUCCUGACAAGUGCUACUUGCUCUGUGGAAGAGGAGGACCUUUCCCAAUAGAGGAGCACUGUUCUUUGGUCAAGGGUAUGAGAUUCCCCUGCUAAAACCUGCAAAGGAGCUGCCCAGGUCCAUUUGUAGAACGUAAGGUAGUUAAGCUUCCAAGACUCCAGACACAUCCAAAUAGGGCACUGCAUGUGGCAGUCUGUCUGUCUUU